RNAcentral lists this transfer RNA (77 nucleotides) under Flavonifractor plautii. RNAcentral's name for it is "tRNA-Arg". It matches the Rfam family "tRNA". Rfam says of the family: Transfer RNA (tRNA) molecules are approximately 80 nucleotides in length. The record is from RNAcentral. RNAcentral also lists the same sequence under 2 other names. Lineage: Bacteria; Bacillati; Bacillota; Clostridia; Eubacteriales; Oscillospiraceae.
GCGUCUGUAGCUCAGUUGGAUAGAGCGCGAGCCUCCUAAGCCCGAGGCCCCCGGUUCGAGUCCGGGCAGGCGCACCA